This 89-nucleotide long non-coding RNA is filed under the name Canis lupus dingo (dingo). Its description in RNAcentral is "lncRNA (ENSCAFG00020021137.1)". Lineage: Eukaryota; Metazoa; Chordata; Mammalia; Carnivora; Canidae. The record is from RNAcentral.
AACAACUGGGAAUUGGAUACCUAAGGUGGUUUGAGAGCAGGGAGGAAGAAGGGAGGACCAAGGCUUUCCCAAAAAUGAAGAGAUGCUGA